CCUCCUAUAGUUCAACGGAUAGAACGAGGGACUUCUAAUCCCUAGAUCUUGGUUCGAUUCCAAGUGGGAGGA
RNAcentral lists this transfer RNA (72 nucleotides) under Candidatus Campbelliibacteriota bacterium. RNAcentral describes it as "Candidatus Campbellbacteria bacterium tRNA-Arg". It matches the Rfam family "tRNA". Rfam says of the family: Transfer RNA (tRNA) molecules are approximately 80 nucleotides in length. Their secondary structure includes four short double-helical elements and three loops (D, anti-codon, and T loops). Further hydrogen bonds mediate the characteristic L-shaped molecular structure. tRNAs have two regions of fundamental functional importance: the anti-codon, which is responsible for specific mRNA codon recognition, and the 3' end, to which the tRNAs corresponding amino acid is attached (by aminoacyl-tRNA synthetases). tRNAs cope with the degeneracy of the genetic code in two manners: having more than one tRNA (with a specific anti-codon) for a particular amino acid; and 'wobble' base-pairing, i.e. permitting non-standard base-pairing at the 3rd anti-codon position. Lineage: Bacteria; Candidatus Campbelliibacteriota. The record is from RNAcentral. RNAcentral also lists the same sequence under 1 other name.